UUGAAAUAAACCUGACGGGUUGUCGCUGGUUCUCCAGGGAGCAUGUGCACACCUUGUCAUCUUUAUGUCUCCACCUGUGCACUUUUUGUAGACCCAUCAAGGUCUAUGUUGCUUCAUCUACUCCUGAAUAAUAAUAGAAUGUUGCUUCUUUUUGAAAUAUAAUA
This 164-nucleotide unclassified non-coding RNA is filed under the name uncultured Cortinarius. Its description in RNAcentral is "sequence contains ITS1". Lineage: Eukaryota; Fungi; Basidiomycota; Agaricomycetes; Agaricales; Cortinariaceae. The record is from RNAcentral.